CGCUGGCGGCACGCCUAACACAUGCAAGUCGAACGAAGUAGCAAUACUUAGUGGCAGACGGGUGAGUAACAUGUAGGUAUCUACCCUAUGGCCUGGAAUAACACGAGGAAACUUGUGCUAAUACCGGAUAAGUCUUAACGGAGAAAGCUUUAUGCACCAUUGGAUGAGCCUGCACUUGAUUAGUUUGUUGGUGGGGUAAUGGCCCACCAAGACUUUGAUCAAUAGCUGAUUUGAGAGGAUGAUCAGCCACAUUGGGACUGAGACACGGCCCAAACUCCUACGGGAGGCAGCAGUGGGGAAUCUUGCACAAUGGAGGAAACUCUGAUGCAGCGAUGCCGCGUGAGUGAAGAAGGCCCUUGGGUUGUAAAGCUCUUUCGUCGGGGAAGAAAAUGACUGUACCCGAAUAAGAAGGUCCGGCUAACUUCGUGCCAGCAGCCGCGGUAAUACGAAGGGACCUAGCGUAGUUCGGAAUUACUGGGCUUAAAGAGUUCGUAGGUGGUUGAAAAAGUUGGUGGUGAAAUCCCAGAGCUUAACUCUGGAACUGCCAUCAAAACUUUUCAGCUAGAGUUUGAUAGAGGAAAGCAGAAUUUCUAGUGUAGAGGUGAAAUUCGUAGAUAUUAGAAAGAAUACCAAUUGCGAAGGCAGCUUUCUGGAUCAUUACUGACACUGAGGAACGAAAGCAUGGGUAGCGAAGAGGAUUAGAUACCCUCGUAGUCCAUGCCGUAAACGAUGUGUGUUAGACGUUGGAAAUUUAUUUUCAGUGUCGCAGCGAAAGCGAUAAACACACCGCCUGGGGAGUACGACC
This 805-nucleotide ribosomal RNA is filed under the name uncultured Pelagibacteraceae bacterium. RNAcentral describes it as "bacterial SSU rRNA". It matches the Rfam family "Bacterial small subunit ribosomal RNA", at positions 34 to 887 of the family's 1533-position model. Lineage: Bacteria; Pseudomonadati; Pseudomonadota; Alphaproteobacteria; Candidatus Pelagibacterales; Candidatus Pelagibacteraceae. The record is from RNAcentral.